ACGCGGGUGCGGGCCGACGGGGUCGAAGCCACCCGGCCCGGCCCGGCCCGGCGA
RNAcentral lists this microRNA precursor (54 nucleotides) under Pongo abelii (Sumatran orangutan). RNAcentral's name for it is "miRNA". The record is from RNAcentral. Lineage: Eukaryota; Metazoa; Chordata; Mammalia; Primates; Hominidae.